CACCAGGUCAGGACACGGUAAGAUUGACGGACUGAAGGCUCUUUCUCGAUUCCGUGGAAAGUGGUGCAUGGUCCGUUUUUGGUUGGUGGAUCGAUCCGUCUGGUUAAUUCCGUUAACGAACGAGACCUCGGCACUCCGAAUAGCGCGGCGGACGUCGCGGCCUCCGGGCCGUCUUCCGCACGAGCUUCUUAGAGGGACCGUCCCCCGCCGGGGAAGGAGGUGCGAGGCAACGACAGGUCUGUGAUGCCCUUAGAUGUUCUGGGCCGCACGCGCAUUACACUGACGCGUCCAACGGGUGACUCCCGACCCGAAGGGGCCGGGGAAUCCGCAAGGCGCGUCGUGAUGGGGAUUGAACGUUGCAAUUGUUGUUCACGAACGAGGAAUUCCUAGUAGGCGCGGGUCAUCAACCCGCGCCGAUUACGUCCCUGCCCUUUGUACACACC
RNAcentral lists this ribosomal RNA (443 nucleotides) under uncultured eukaryote. Its description in RNAcentral is "bacterial SSU rRNA". It matches the Rfam family "Eukaryotic small subunit ribosomal RNA", at positions 1216 to 1670 of the family's 1831-position model. The record is from RNAcentral.